This 445-nucleotide ribosomal RNA is filed under the name uncultured bacterium. RNAcentral describes it as "bacterial SSU rRNA". It matches the Rfam family "Bacterial small subunit ribosomal RNA", at positions 28 to 456 of the family's 1533-position model. The record is from RNAcentral.
GAUGAACGCUGGCGGCGUGCUUAACACAUGCAAGUCGAACGGGAAACCUUUUAAUGAAGCUUCGGCAGAUUUAGCUGGUUUCUAGUGGCGGACGGGUGAGUAACGCGUGGGUAACCUGCCUUAUACAGGGGGAUAACAGUCAGAAAUGACUGCUAAUACCGCAUAAGCGCACAGGACCGCAUGGUCCGGUGUGAAAAACUCCGGUGGUAUAAGAUGGACCCGCGUUGGAUUAGCUUGUUGGUGGGGUAACGGCUCACCAAGGCGACGAUCCAUAGCCGGCCUGAGAGGGUGAACGGCCACAUUGGGACUGAGACACGGCCCAGACUCCUACGGGAGGCAGCAGUGGGGAAUAUUGCACAAUGGGGGAAACCCUGAUGCAGCGACGCCGCGUGAAGGAAGAAGUAUCUCGGUAUGUAAACUUCUAUCAGCAGGGAAGAUAGUGACG